CAAGCGAACAAGUGCAUGUGGUGGAUGCCUUGGCGAUCACAGGCGAUGAAGGACGCGGUAGCCUGCGAAAAGCGGAGGGGAGCUGGCAAACGAGCUUUGAUCCUCCGAUAUCCGAAUGGGGAAACCCGGCCCGUAUGGGUCAUCCGUAGCUGAAUCCAUAGGCUGCGUGAAGCGAACGCGGUGAACUGAAACAUCUAAGUAACCGCAGGAAAAGAAAUCAACCGAGAUUCCCAGAGUAGUGGCGAGCGAAAUGGGACCAGCCUGCAUUCUUUAUCCGUAGUGUUAGUCGAAAGCUCUGGAAAGUGCUGCCAUAGCAGGUGAUAGCCCUGUAGACGAAAACAUCAUGGAAGAACUAGGUAUGCGAGAAGUAGGGCGGGACACGUGAAAUCCUGUCUGAAGAUGGGGGGACCAUCCUCCAAGGCUAAAUACUCGUGAUCGACCGAUAGUGAACCAGUACCGUGAGGGAAAGGCGAAAAGAACCCCGGGAGGGGAGUGAAACAGAUCCUGAAACCGCAUGCAUACAAACAGUCGGAGCCUUUGAAAGAGGGUGACGGCGUACCUUUUGUAUAAUGGGUCAGCGACUUACAUUCAGUGGCAAGCUUAACCGAUUAGGGCAGGCGUAGCGAAAGCGAGUCCGAACAGGGCGAUUCAGUCGCUGGGUGUAGACCCGAAACAGGUGAUCUAUCCAUGGCCAGGAUAAAGGUGCGGUAACACGUACCGGAGGUCCGAACCCACUAACGUUGAAAAGUUAGGGGAUGAGCUGUGGAUAGGGGUGAAAGGCUAAACAAACCUGGAAAUAGCUGGUUCUCUCCGAAAACUAUUUAGGUAGUGCCUCGUGUAUCACCUUCGGGGGUAGAGCACUGUCAUGGUUGUGGGGUCCAUUGCGGAUUACUACGCCAUAGCAAACUCCGAAUACCGAAGAGUGCAAUCACGGGAGACAGACAUCGGGUGCUAACGUCCGGUGUCAAGAGGGAAACAACCCAGACCGCCAGCUAAGGUCCCCAAAUAUUGCUAAGUGGGAAACGAAGUGGGAAGGCUAAAACAGUCAGGAGGUUGGCUUAGAAGCAGCCAUCCUUUAAAGAAAGCGUAAUAGCUCACUGAUCGAGUCGUCCUGCGCGGAAGAUGUAACGGGGCUAAGCAAUAUACCGAAGCUGCGGAUGCAUAUUUAUAUGCAUGGUAGGAGAGCGUUCCGUAAGCCUGCGAAGGUGCAUUGAAAAGUGUGCUGGAGGUAUCGGAAGUGCGAAUGCUGACAUGAGUAGCGAUAAAGGGGGUGAAAGGCCCCCUCGCCGUAAGCCCAAGGUUUCCUACGCAACGUUCAUCGGCGUAGGGUGAGUCGGCCCCUAAGGCGAGGCAGAAAUGCGUAGCUGAUGGGAAGCAGGUUAAUAUUCCUGCACCAUUGUUAAAUGCGAUGGGGGGACGGAUCGCGGAAGGUUGUCCGGGUGUUGGAAGUCCCGGUCCUUGCAUUGGAGAAGGCGCUUUGGCAAAUCCGGGCGCAGGAUUCAAGGGUGCGAGGCCAUUCACUUCGGUGAAGAAGCAAUCGGAAGUGGUUCCAGGAAAAGCCUCUAAGCUUCAGUUUAACAAGACCGUACCGCAAACCGACACAGGUGGGCGAGAUGAGUAUUCUAAGGCGCUUGAGAGAACUCGGGAGAAGGAACUCGGCAAAUUGGUACCGUAACUUCGGGAUAAGGUACGCCCCUGUAGCCUGACUGGCCUGCGCCAGAAGGGUGAAGGGGUUGCAAUAAACUGGUGGCUGCGACUGUUUAAUAAAAACACAGCACUCUGCAAACACGAAAGUGGACGUAUAGGGUGUGACGCCUGCCCGGUGCCGGAAGAUUAAAUGAUGGGGUGCAAGCUCCUGAUUGAAGUCCCGGUAAACGGCGGCCGUAACUAUAACGGUCCUAAGGUAGCGAAAUUCCUUGUCGGGUAAGUUCCGACCUGCACGAAUGGCGUAACGAUGGCCACACUGUCUCCUCCCGAGACUCAGCGAAGUUGAAGUGUUUGUGAUGAUGCAAUCUCCCCGCGGCUAGACGGAAAGACCCCAUGAACCUUUACUGUAGCUUUGCAUUGGACUUUGAACCGGUCUGUGUAGGAUAGGUGGGAGGCUUUGAAGCGUGGACGCCAGUCUGCGUGGAGCCGACCUUGAAAUACCACCCUGGUCUGUUUGAGGUUCUAACCUUGGUCCGUUAUCCGGACCGGGGACAGUGCAUGGUAGGCAGUUUGACUGGGGCGGUCUCCUCCCAAAGUGUAACGGAGGAGUACGAAGGUACGCUAGGUACGGUCGGAAAUCGUGCUGAUAGUGCAAUGGCAUAAGCGUGCUUAACUGCGAGACCGACAAGUCGAGCAGGUGCGAAAGCAGGUCAUAGUGAUCCGGUGGUUCUGUAUGGAAGGGCCAUCGCUCAACGGAUAAAAGGUACUCUGGGGAUAACAGGCUGAUACCGCCCAAGAGUUCAUAUCGACGGCGGUGUUUGGCACCUCGAUGUCGGCUCAUCUCAUCCUGGGGCUGUAGCCGGUCCCAAGGGUAUGGCUGUUCGCCAUUUAAAGAGGUACGUGAGCUGGGUUUAAAACGUCGUGAGACAGUUUGGUCCCUAUCUGCCGUGGGCGCUGGAUAUUUGAAGGGGGCUGCUCCUAGUACGAGAGGACCGGAGUGGACGAACCUCUGGUGUACCGGUUGUCACGCCAGUGGCAUCGCCGGGUAGCUAUGUUCGGAAGAGAUAACCGCUGAAAGCAUCUAAGCGGGAAACUCGCCUUAAGAUGAGAUAUCCCCGGGGCUUCGAGCCCCUUGAAGGGUCGUUCAAGACCAGGACGUUGAUAGGUCAGGUGUGGAAGCGCAGUAAUGCGUUAAGCUAACUGAUACUAAUUGCCCGUAAGGCUUGAUCC
Molecule: ribosomal RNA, 2877 nt
Filed under: Paraburkholderia xenovorans LB400
Lineage: Bacteria; Pseudomonadati; Pseudomonadota; Betaproteobacteria; Burkholderiales; Burkholderiaceae
Description: bacterial LSU rRNA
Rfam family: Bacterial large subunit ribosomal RNA
Source: RNAcentral